AAGUUGUUGCGACAGCAUUCCUGCGUAGUACGAGAGGAACCGCAGGUACGGACCAAUGGCACAAUACUUGUUCGAGCGAACAGUGGUAUGACGGUACGUCCGUUGGAUUAUGCCUGAACGUCGUAUCCGAGCUGGACUGCAUUGCUUGGCUUAUAAACCAUUUAAAAUUUUUCAUCUUUUUAUGAUAAACGAUAAUGAAGUGUGAUGUCAAUCUUUCAUUGUCACGUAACAAAUACAGGAGAAUAUUAUCACCUGUGUGUCGCGUUAGUUACAUUUAAAAACAUUAUUUAAUGGCAAUGCCAAUUUUGUAACGGGCAACAUACUUAGGUUGACGAUUCGAUAUCUAAUAUGCAUUUAACAUGU
RNAcentral lists this non-coding RNA (363 nucleotides) under Glossina brevipalpis. RNAcentral describes it as "eukaryotic large subunit ribosomal RNA". It matches the Rfam family "Eukaryotic large subunit ribosomal RNA", at positions 3005 to 3399 of the family's 3401-position model. The record is from RNAcentral. Lineage: Eukaryota; Metazoa; Arthropoda; Insecta; Diptera; Glossinidae.